Xiphophorus hellerii (green swordtail) is the source of this 178-nucleotide long non-coding RNA. RefSeq lists it as uncharacterized. The transcript has 3 exons. The record is from RefSeq and is a predicted model, not a curated record. Lineage: Eukaryota; Metazoa; Chordata; Actinopteri; Cyprinodontiformes; Poeciliidae.
UGACAAUACGAAGAUGGUGGUCUCUCACUCUCUGGAGAAACUUCCCUGUGAAUCAUGAUCAAAAAGCUUCUACUUCCUGGUUCUGUUGCUCUGAAGGAAAAAACUACAAGCCAAGUGGACUGUGACGUCAUCAGUUACGCAACAUCCGUCACAUUUACUUUCGGUUUGAAUUUCCCUG